UACAUGUUCCUUAGAUCCACCUCUGGGGGGCGCUCUUGUGCUACUGUAGCUGUUCCAUUUUUCUGGGUGUUGCAGCUCAAGCCCAGAUGCCCUCAGUUGCUUGAUGGCUGUAUAGUUGGGGUUGCUUGAGUCAUUGGCAUGUGAGGAUAGUCUUACCUGUUUCUCAGCCCAUACACUGGGCCUUUACUGGACUUGUAACAAGUGCAGGCAGGCUGGAGAACAAACAUA
Molecule: small nucleolar RNA, 228 nt
Organism: Hypomesus transpacificus
Lineage: Eukaryota; Metazoa; Chordata; Actinopteri; Osmeriformes; Osmeridae
Product: small nucleolar RNA SNORA53
Exons: 1
Source: RefSeq, a predicted model, not a curated record